GUGUCAGCAGCCGCGGUAAUACAGAGGUCCCAAGCGUUGUUCGGAUUCACUGGGCGUAAAGGGUGCGUAGGUGGCAGGGUAAGUCGGAUGUGAAAUCUCCGAGCUCAACUCGGAAAUGGCAUUGGAAACUACCCAGCUCGAGGGUUGGAGGGGGGACUGGAAUGCUUGGUGUAGCAGUGAAAUGCGUAGAUAUCAAGCGGAACACCAGUGGCGAAGGCGAGUCCCUGGACAACUCCUGACACUGAGGCACGAAAGCUAGGGGAGCAAACAGGAUUAGAUACCCCAGUAGUCC
This 292-nucleotide ribosomal RNA is filed under the name uncultured bacterium. Its description in RNAcentral is "partial 16S ribosomal RNA". It matches the Rfam family "Bacterial small subunit ribosomal RNA", at positions 505 to 796 of the family's 1533-position model. The record is from RNAcentral.